CAGGACGAACGCUGGCGGCGUGCUUAACACAUGCAAGUCGAACGAUGAAGCCUUUCGGGGUGGAUUAGUGGCGAACGGGUGAGUAACACGUGGGCAAUCUGCCCUUCACUCUGGGACAAGCCCUGGAAACGGGGUCUAAUACCGGAUAACACUCUGUUCCGCAUGGGACGGGGUUAAAAGCUCCGGCGGUGAAGGAUGAGCCCGCGGCCUAUCAGCUUGUUGGUGGGGUAAUGGCCUACCAAGGCGACGACGGGUAGCCGGCCUGAGAGGGCGACCGGCCACACUGGGACUGAGACACGGCCCAGACUCCUACGGGAGGCAGCAGUGGGGAAUAUUGCACAAUGGGCGAAAGCCUGAUGCAGCGACGCCGCGUGAGGGAUGACGGCCUUCGGGUUGUAAACCUCUUUCAGCAGGGAAGAAGCGAAAGUGACGGUACCUGCAGAAGAAGCGCCGGCUAACUACGUGCCAGCAGCCGCGGUAAUACGUAGGGCGCAAGCGUUGUCCGGAAUUAUUGGGCGUAAAGAGCUCGUAGGCGGCUUGUCACGUCGGAUGUGAAAGCCCGGGGCUUAACCCCGGGUCUGCAUUCGAUACGGGCUAGCUAGAGUGUGGUAGGGGAGAUCGGAAUUCCUGGUGUAGCGGUGAAAUGCGCAGAUAUCAGGAGGAACACCGGUGGCGAAGGCGGAUCUCUGGGCCAUUACUGACGCUGAGGAGCGAAAGCGUGGGGAGCGAACAGGAUUAGAUACCCUGGUAGUCCACGCCGUAAACGUUGGGAA
RNAcentral lists this ribosomal RNA (773 nucleotides) under Streptomycetaceae bacterium. RNAcentral describes it as "bacterial SSU rRNA". It matches the Rfam family "Bacterial small subunit ribosomal RNA", at positions 25 to 815 of the family's 1533-position model. The record is from RNAcentral. Lineage: Bacteria; Bacillati; Actinomycetota; Actinomycetes; Kitasatosporales; Streptomycetaceae.